AUGAUGACAACCUGCUCUCCGAGAUCCUCCUACGCCUCCCCCCGCAGCCGUCCUCCCUCCCCCGCGCUUCCGCCGUCUGCAGGCGCUGGCGUCUCCUCAUCUCCGACCCCGGCUUCUGCCGCCGCUUCCGCCUCCACCACCGCCGCAACCCUCCCCUCCUCGGCGUCCUCCACCACGGUUUGGACUGCGAUCUCUCCUUGGUAUCUACCGUGGAGGCCCCCAAUCGCUUCCCGGCGGGGGGGCUUGUCUCUGAGGCUCGACGACUUCUUUGUGCCCAUCGGAUGUCGCCAUGGCCUUGUGCUCGUGUUUCUCUCGCUCAAUUCUUGGAGAGAGAUCCUGAUGUGGGAUCCCAUCACCGCAGGGCAGCACCGGAUCCUCUUGCCCCCUGGGUUUAUGACGCGCGGGGGGAAGGGCAUGAUCAAUGGGGCCGUGCUUCGGGCCGCCGGAAACGCCGACGACUUCCAGGUGGUCGUGGUGAUGGCAGACAAAGGCAGAUCACACAGGCGAGCUUUCUUGUGUGUUUACUCUUCAAAGACCGGCCUAUGGGGUGAGCUCGUAUCAACACUACUUACAUCUAUGAGUCUGACUGAUGUUGUUUGCACGGGCAUGCCCGCUGUGCUGGCUGGGAAUUCGCUUUACUGGUUGCUUGUUGGAAAGAUUUCUGUAAUUCUCGAGUUUGAUAUGGAGAAACAGAGCCUAGCCUUGAUACAGGUACCAGUGCAUAUGCUUGAACAGCGGUGUCCCCUAAACUGGAUCAUGCGGGCAGAGGGUGGUGGCCUUGGUUUACUCUUCGAGACAGACUGCAGCUUCCAAUUAUGGAAGAGGAACACAGAUUCUAAUGAUGCUUUUUCAUGGGUACUUGGAAGAACUAUCGAACUGGAGAAGCUAACUUUCCUGAAUUCAGAGAAGAAAGACAUGAGCAUACUAGCGCUCGCCGAGGAAAACAAUGUGAUGUUCAUGAGGAAAGGUGGCGUCGUCUUUAUGGUCCAUCUUGACUCAUUGCAGUUCAAGAAACUUCUUGAAGACGACAACGUUACUUAUUAUGAGCCAUUCGAAAGUGUCUACACCACAGGUAAUAGCAUG
RNAcentral lists this ribosomal RNA (1083 nucleotides) under Triticum aestivum (bread wheat). RNAcentral's name for it is "partial small subunit ribosomal RNA". The record is from RNAcentral. Lineage: Eukaryota; Viridiplantae; Streptophyta; Magnoliopsida; Poales; Poaceae.